AGUUGAGUUACAUAUAAGAAGUUAUUGUAAAAUUUGCAACAGAUACAUUGUUGACUGCUGUAGAGAGCAUUCAAAAUUUGAGUCCCUUGGGUGCAGAACUGGCGGAAUGGCACACAUAUGCCGGACAAAGCACACGCAAAUGUGAAACAGGCAGGAACUUUGGAGAAAAAUAUAAUCGUAUCUGCACUCCACAGGCACACAAAUUUCUCGGGAGAAAAGGUUUUACAAUCUCAUAUUGAAUACCACAUCAACUCCAAGAGAACAAUUUAGUUUCGCUUCACCACAAGGUAUUCAUGGCCGGUGUUUGGUUCCGGUAUCAUUAGUCAUCGUCUCUAAUAAAUUGCAAACUUUCACAAGUGGUUGGAACCUUGAAACCGAAAAGCAUCAUAAGCAUCUGGUACAACCCUUCAUUUUGGAAAGUAAGUGCUCUAAAAUGAACCUAAAGAGAAGGAACCUGAGGAUAAGAUGAGUUUUUAAAGUCUUAUGCCAAAUUAACUAUAUCCUGAAAUUGCUCUGGUAGUUUUGAUGUUGGAUAGUUAACUUUAAUUUUAGAAGUACUAAAAGUCCAUGGUAUACAGAUACACUACUCUGCACUAGAUAGAUAGAUUUACAUGGUACUAUCUUUGCUUAAAUUCAAUUUCACAUUCGCAUAGGUGGGUUUUCGAUUGUGGGUUUCAGAUAUUCCAUGGUUUUGCUAUUUGAUUAUCGUGAUAUAAUUUGGACUAGAGCCUUGAUCUGCUUAAUAAAAACACAUUUACAUGAUAUUAUUUUGCUAUUUGAUUAUCAGUCUGUAACAUAAUCUGGAUUAGAGCCUUGGUCUGCUUAAUUGAGAACACAUUUACAUGAUAUGAUAUAAUGAAUCUGACGUGUCUCUACUUUGUAUCUGCUUCCUAGAGAAUACAUUUACAUGAUUUACUGAAUCAGAUGGAAUACAUUAACACAAGUACAGGCAUGCUGUCCAAGCCGGUACCUGAGGGCUUUCUCAUCAGUCCUGCAAUUUCUUAUUGUUACAAUGUAACAAUUAUGUUAAGCUUGCCAAUUGAUUCCAUAGAAAUAAGGGUAUCUUAAAGUAUCGAAAAUGCUAGUCGGAAAUGGUCCCUAAAAGGUUGCCUUGGUUUAAAGCUUCUGCAAACAUGUUGUCAUCCCGGGGAUUUCAACACGCGAUUGAUUUUUUGCCUAACUUGAGGUCCCAACAACCAACUGAUGAUGCAGUAGUGUUGGGGGAGACUAUUGAAAUUGUUGCCUUGUCGGGUUUUGUUAUUGUUGCCACCUAAGUGAUUAUGCCCAGCUUGAGGUCCCAACAAACAAGCAAUCAAGGCAAUAGUGUUGGGGAUAUCGCUGAGAUUUAUCACCUUGUGAGCUUAUGUUAGUACGAUUGUUGCCACUCAAGUGAUGUUUCCCUGCUUGAGGUUUCAAGAGAAAACACAUUGUUGCCUUACAAGGAAAAGAUUUGAUAGAUGCUUCUGUGAUAGUUAUCAUAGGCUGCAUUUUCCUGAAGCACAAUUUUUAAUCUCACAAGGCUGUCUUUUGACUAUUGUCCUCUUCUGAUCAUUCUCUAUGAUAGAUUGUCUUUUU
This is an RNA transcript of Fragaria vesca subsp. vesca, 1575 nucleotides long. RefSeq lists it as uncharacterized. The record is from RefSeq and is a predicted model, not a curated record. The transcript is spliced from 4 exons. NCBI's taxonomy places the organism in Eukaryota, Viridiplantae, Streptophyta, Magnoliopsida, Rosales, Rosaceae.